Molecule: long non-coding RNA, 571 nt
Filed under: Anas platyrhynchos platyrhynchos (common mallard)
Lineage: Eukaryota; Metazoa; Chordata; Aves; Anseriformes; Anatidae
Description: lncRNA (ENSAPLG00000026653.1)
Source: RNAcentral
UGCAUAUACAGACAUUGCAAUGCAACAGUGUGCUUCAGCAGCUCUAAUUUGAUUUACAGUCUUAGUUUUCAAUAUAAAUCCUAAGAUUCAUUGUUUUAAUAGGUGAGAGCAAUCCAAGAAGUACAUCAGAAACAGAAAAAAAUGUGAGGAUGACCAGAUGCAAGCUGAAUCUCUUCUUGUUGGUGCUACAGCAGCCUUGGGCACGCUUAAUAAGAUCCUGGGUGGCAAUCUGUGUAAACUCACGGAUUCAUUAUUUGAGAAAGCAGUUGCAUAGAAAGUCUGAUGUCAAGAUGAUGUCAGCCAACAAACCAAAACUAUUGAGCUGGCUGAAGUGUUCAUCAAGGGCCUCGAGGUAAGAAGAUUGCCUGAAUGUUCUAGAUAGUAUGAGUUUUGAAAUAUCUGAAGUGUUUUGUUAAACAUUAUGUUGAAUUUUGAGGGUAGUGUGUGUGGAUAAAAAUCUGGGGUGACAGGCAACAAGAUGACCCUCAUUAGAAAUAAUUUAAAUGGAAAGAAACAUAAAAAAAAAAAAAAAAAGAAUAAAUAAAAAUCAAAUUCUGAAGAGUAAAAUGUG